Long non-coding RNA from Sinocyclocheilus anshuiensis, 830 nucleotides. RefSeq lists it as uncharacterized. The transcript is spliced from 3 exons. The record is from RefSeq and is a predicted model, not a curated record. NCBI's taxonomy places the organism in Eukaryota, Metazoa, Chordata, Actinopteri, Cypriniformes, Cyprinidae.
UUAAAGGCUUGUUUGCUGAUACUUCUUUGUCUUUGUGUUUAUAGGACAUUCUGAGAUUUCAAAUCUUUUCAAGACUGUUGUUCAAAUUAGAAUUAGCCCUCAUAAGAACACCAGUUGAUCUUGAUUUCCUGGAAUUUACAUGUCGUCAAGAAAUGUACCUAUGUCAGAUCCUGUCAAGACAUGUUGAUGUGCCAUCACCAAUCAUCCAGGCGCUGCAGGAGCUCUUUUCACUCGUCAGACAGCAAAUAGAACUUACCGCCCCACAGACAGAAGUAACUACCGUGGCUGGCAGGACAGGGCGUCCAAAAUACAACAUUGAAAUGGAGACUUUGGCUGAGCUUUGUGAACUAAACCUCUCUGUACGCUGCAUUGCAAAACUUCUGGGCAUUUCAGGUCGCACUAUCCGUAGACUUAUUAGAAUUUGGGUUUUCCCCGAAAACGUACAGUAACAUCAGUGAUCAAGACCUCGAUAGAUUGGUUGCCCAGAUUAAAAAUGAAAUGCCCUCUGCUGGAUACCGAAUGGUCAAAGGUAGGCUUCAAUCCAUGGGGAUUCACAUUCAGUAGAGAAGAGUAGCUGCUUCAAUGCACGAAGUGGAUUCGAUAGGAGUCCUAUCCAGAAUGUACGGAUUGGGAUGUGUGGUACACCGCACAUAUUCUGUGAGAGGGCCCCUGUCUCUCUGGCAUGUGGAUACUAACCACAAGUUAAUAAGGUACAACAUAGUAAUUUUUGGAGCAGUGGAUGGAUACUCUAGGAAGAUAAUGUGCUUGAAUGCUGCAACGAAUAACCGAGGAUCAACAGCCCUUAGUGUCAUGAAACAGAAACACAAGAU